Molecule: ribosomal RNA, 331 nt
Filed under: Guibemantis methueni
Lineage: Eukaryota; Metazoa; Chordata; Amphibia; Anura; Mantellidae
Description: partial 16S ribosomal RNA
Rfam family: Bacterial large subunit ribosomal RNA
Source: RNAcentral
CUAAUCUCCCCGUGAAGAAGCGGGAAUAAUUCUAUAAGACGAGAAGACCCCAUGGAGCUUUAAACCCAACUACACCCCCUUCAACCUAACCUUUAAAAUUAUGGGGCCCUGUAUGUUCUGGUUUUGGGUUGGGGUGACCACGGAGCAUAAACUAGCCUCCACAAUGAACAAGACUCCUCUCUUUAUCUAAGACCCACACCUCUAAGAAUUAGCACUCUAACAUAAAAUGAUCCGAUAUUCGAUCAACGAACCAAGUUACCCUGGGGAUAACAGCGCAAUCCACUUCAAGAGCCCCUAUCGACAAGUGGGUUUACGACCUCGAUGUUGGAUC